Molecule: ribosomal RNA, 468 nt
Filed under: uncultured bacterium
Lineage: Bacteria
Description: partial 16S ribosomal RNA
Rfam family: Bacterial small subunit ribosomal RNA
Source: RNAcentral
GACGAACGCUGGCGGCGUGCUUAACACAUGCAAGUCGAACGGAAAGGCCCUGCUUUUGUGGGGUGCUCGAGUGGCGAACGGGUGAGUAACACGUGAGUAACCUGCCCUUGACUUUGGGAUAACUUCAGGAAACUGGGGCUAAUACCGGAUAGGAUCUCCUGCUGCAUGGUGGGGGUUGGAAAGGUUCGGCGGUUGGGUAUGGACUCGCGGCUUAUCAGCUUGUUGGUGGGGUAGUGGCUUACCAAGGCUUUGACGGGUAGCCGGCCUGAGAGGGUGACCGGCCACAUUGGGACUGAGAUACGGCCCAGACUCCUACGGGAGGCAGCAGUGGGGAAUAUUGCACAAUGGGCGGAAGCCUGAUGCAGCAACGCCGCGUGCGGGAUGACGGCCUUCGGGUUGUAAACCGCUUUCGCCUGUGACGAAGCGUGAGUGACGGUAAUGGGUAAAGAAGCACCGGCUAACUACGUG